Molecule: long non-coding RNA, 1270 nt
Organism: Panicum virgatum (switchgrass)
Lineage: Eukaryota; Viridiplantae; Streptophyta; Magnoliopsida; Poales; Poaceae
Exons: 2
Source: RefSeq, a predicted model, not a curated record
CCGUGGUUCUGCCCGCCGCUCGCUCCAAAACACGUGUCCCGUACUCCCGUCCUCGUCCGCGGUCCACCCCCACGCCUCUCGAUGGUUACUCCUCGCACACCCGCCCUUGCGCCGCCGACCCCGGCGCCCCUCCUCCGCCGGUCCGCGCGCCCCUCCACCGCCAGCUCCUCCUCCUCCUCCAGCUCGGCGUCGCGGCACUCGCCCCGCGCACCGCCUCCGCCAGCUCGCGCGCUCGACGGCGCGACCCGACCCGGCUGCUGCACGCUCGCCCCGCCUCUACCUCCUGUGGAUCCACGCGCUCGGCUCGGCCAGCGCCUCCCUCGCCGCCCGCGCGCGCAACGGCGCGCCGCCGCUGCCGGGGCAGGACAGCUCCCUUCCCUUCGACCGGCGCCCGCACGCUCGACGGCGCGACACCGCCGCUGCUGCCAGGGCAGGACGCCUCCCUGCUCUUCGCCCGGCGGCCGGCUCGAGCGCUCUCUCUCGCCGCGCUCCGCGUGCCGCUCGCCUCUGCUCGGCUGGACGCCUCCCUCCCCUUCGACCCUGCGCCGCCCGCCCUGCCAAAGCCACCUCCCCAUCACCGAUGCACAGGUCCGGGGAGUCAGUUGAGGAGGAUGGAUCCGCGGAGGUGGUGGCCUAAUGCUCUGCCAUCCCCACAUCCCCACCUGCUCGUACUCCCGUCCCCAUGGUUCCUAUUCUUGUCGUCGGCUCCGUUUAGCAGGAUGGAUCCACGGGGGUGCUGACGGAUGCGCCGUUUCUGCAAUCCCAGCAGCCUCGCGGCCUAUCUGCAUCAUCGCCGAUCAGCCGCAAGCGCCAUCAAGGAGGGAACGUUGGAGAAUUGUUAACGUGUAGAAGCUAUGGCUGGGCUGUCUGUGCAGGCACCCACGAAGCCAUGGCUGCCAGUAAGGAUGCAGAACUAGGUGGCAAUCAAGUAUUCAGGUUGGUCACAGCAGGGACAUGGCAAGAGGAAGAAAAUACACAUGAUCUAUAUUGUGCCAAAAUAAUUUCUGUCAUCUAAGGUUGGUUUAGGAUGGGAAAAUAGGGGUAAUUUUUUCCAAAGGUAUUUCUGCUCAUGGGAAUUGCCGCAAUGCUGUACUUCAAAACCAUAGUUGAGAUGGAUUUUUGGUCAAACAGUUUCAUCGUAUUUUGUAGUAUGCUAAUACUUUUGGUAGAAUAGUAUGCAAAGUAGUAGAGAUUUUGAUGUGAUCUGGGGCAUGAAUUGACAAUUAUUAUCCACAUACCAUAGUUUGUUGUAGAAACAUUUUCUAUUCAA